This 467-nucleotide ribosomal RNA is filed under the name uncultured bacterium. RNAcentral's name for it is "partial 16S ribosomal RNA". It matches the Rfam family "Bacterial small subunit ribosomal RNA", at positions 29 to 507 of the family's 1533-position model. The record is from RNAcentral.
ACGAACGCUGGCGGCGUGCUUCACACAUGCAAGUCGCACGGAAAGGCCCUGCUUUUGUGGGGUGCUCGCGUGGCGAACGGGUGAGUAACACGUGAGUAACCUGCCCUUGACUUUGGGAUAACUUCAGGAAACUGGGGCUAAUACCGGAUAGGAGCUCCUGCUGCAUGGUGGGGGUUGGAAAGUUUCGGCGGUUGGGGAUGGACUCGCGGCUUAUCAGCUUGUUGGUGGGGUAGUGGCUUACCAAGGCUUUGACGGGUAGCCGGCCUGAGAGGGUGACCGGCCACAUUGGGACUGAGAUACGGCCCAGACUCCUACGGGAGGCAGCAGUGGGGAAUAUUGCACAAUGGGCGGAAGCCUGAUGCAGCAACGCCGCGUGCGGGAUGACGGCCUUCGGGUUGUAAACCGCUUUCGCCUGUGACGAAGCGUGAGUGACGGUAAUGGGUAAAGAAGCACCGGCUAACUACGUG